UCUACGGUGUGCAGCAGUGGGGAAUAUUGGGCAAUGGGCGCAAGCCUGACCCAGCAACGCCGCGUGAAGGAAGAAGGCUUUCGGGUUGUAAACUUCUUUUCUCAGGGACGAAGAAAGUGACGGUACCUGAGGAAUAAGCCACGGCUAACUACGUGCCAGCAGCCGCGGUAAUACGUAGGUGGCAAGCGUUAUCCGGAUUUACUGGGUGUAAAGGGCGUGUAGGCGGGGAAGCAAGUCAGAUGUGAAAACCACGGGCUCAACCUGUGGCCUGCAUUUGAAACUGUUGGUCUUGAGUAUCGGAGAGGCAGGCGGAAUUCCUAGUGUAGCGGUGAAAUGCGUAGAUAUUAGGAGGAACACCAGUGGCGAAGGCGGCCUGCUGGACGACAACUGACGGUGAGGCGCGAAAGCGUGGGGAGCAAACAGGAUUAGAUACCCUGGUAGU
Molecule: ribosomal RNA, 442 nt
Filed under: uncultured bacterium
Lineage: Bacteria
Description: partial 16S ribosomal RNA
Rfam family: Bacterial small subunit ribosomal RNA
Source: RNAcentral